CGUUAACUUACGAUCGGGUGCAGAGUGACAUUCUCCAGCGGGCCCACACCUGCGUCCCUCACAAUUGAUAUUAAUGAUUUUUUUCAUUUAUGAUUGUUUUUGUGCUGUUAAAUAUAAAAUAUGAAGGUAAAAAAAAUGCUUCUGCCCCCCAUGUUCAUAUUUAACAUGAGAACAAUGCUCCCCUUGUCCCUGGUGAAGUCAAUGCCUGUGGCAUUGAGUAUGCAUUGAUAAAUGGUAGUCAGGAAUCUAGAGUAUGAAGGGAGAAUCAAGAAGAGAGAAAUUAGAUUGGAGGUAAAAAUUGUCAGAAUAACAUUUUAUACAGUUAAGUUUAUUUUACUUCAAAAAAAGAAAAGAUACUCAAUCAAGGAUUUUAUCAGAAAAAUAAACUCUAUUAUGCUACUAUCAAAAAAUAUUGAUGCAGGGUAUUUUAGUGACAUUACAAAAACUUUUCAUCUAAGACUUCAAACA
RNAcentral lists this long non-coding RNA (468 nucleotides) under Androctonus crassicauda. The record is from RNAcentral. Lineage: Eukaryota; Metazoa; Arthropoda; Arachnida; Scorpiones; Buthidae.